RNAcentral lists this small nuclear RNA (211 nucleotides) under Phytophthora ramorum (sudden oak death agent). Its description in RNAcentral is "U2 spliceosomal RNA". It matches the Rfam family "U2 spliceosomal RNA". From Rfam's summary of the family: U2 is a small nuclear RNA (snRNA) component of the spliceosome (involved in pre-mRNA splicing). Complementary binding between U2 snRNA (in an area lying towards the 5' end but 3' to hairpin I) and the branchpoint sequence (BPS) of the intron results the bulging out of an unpaired adenosine, on the BPS, which initiates a nucleophilic attack at the intronic 5' splice site, thus starting the first of two transesterification reactions that mediate splicing. Lineage: Eukaryota; Oomycota; Peronosporomycetes; Peronosporales; Peronosporaceae. The record is from Rfam by way of RNAcentral.
AUAUUUUAGCCUAGAUUUCAGUUACGGAGAGGUUACUAACUGGUAACACGAAAACACAUUCUGUUCUAAUCAGUGUGAAAACUGGUUUCCGACGUUUUUCGUUGGUCUUUUUCACAUUCAUUUUUGGAACUUCCGAGAAUGCUAGCUUGCUAGCUUUUCUUGGAACGGUCUCCGGGGGCUUUCACUAUCUCCCCCGCGAGGCCAACCACCA